Molecule: long non-coding RNA, 655 nt
Organism: Mustela erminea (ermine)
Lineage: Eukaryota; Metazoa; Chordata; Mammalia; Carnivora; Mustelidae
Exons: 3
Source: RefSeq, a predicted model, not a curated record
CUUUGAGAGACUCAGGAAAGAGACUUCAGACGAGAACUCAUUCCUCCUCUCACUUGGUAUGGGACUGGCUUGGCCUGGAGACCCGGCGUGGCCCCACACGGUCACUAACACGGAAGACUACAAGACGUACAAGUAGGCAUCUGCGAGUCCGAAUCAAAGUGGGAGCCAGCAGAGCGAUGAGCCGUGGACAUUUUCCUGUGCCUGGCUUGCUGAGUGUCCUUGUCCCAACCACUCUCCCCCUCUGGACAUCUGUUGCCUCCCCGGCACCAUCCGUCAAACCUGCCUCCCCGGGGGCAGAAGGCGGCAGGCGAGAAAAGGUGUUUCGAAGCAGGGGGGCUCAGAAACUUCCACCAACUGACUUGGAAGGAGGACACGACAUUCCUGUCAGCAGCGUCGGACAAAGCUACAUGUCCCCGACACAGGCCCUCACCUUUGGUUCGCGGGUCGGCUCUUCUCACUUUCCAAAACAGUGAUGAGAUCAGCUGGGCUAGACCGAGAGCCCAACUGUUUUUCAUACUUUAAAAAAAAGUCUAGCAGGUUAAAAAAAGCUACAUAAACUGACAAAAGUACCAGUCCUUUUGCUGUUGAAAAAUUGGGAAACAAAUUAAAUACGGUUUCAUAAAUGUAGUUAAAUUGGAUGACAAAUUUUUCAUCA